AAGAAGGAAGAUCCUCUCAUGGAUCAGUAACGUGUUUAAACAUAGGAGACAAAGGGUAAGAAUAAAUGGUGAGUUUUCAGAAUAGAGAGAGGUAAAUAGUGGUGGUCCCCCAGGGAUUUGUCCUGGGACAGUACUGUUCAACAUGUUCCUAAAUGAUAUGGAGAUAGGGAAUUACUCAAGAUAUUUAAACCCUAAGCUGACUG
This is a long non-coding RNA of Chelonia mydas (Green sea turtle), 203 nucleotides long. RefSeq lists it as uncharacterized. The transcript has 2 exons. The record is from RefSeq and is a predicted model, not a curated record. Lineage: Eukaryota; Metazoa; Chordata; Testudines; Cheloniidae.